ACAACAACAAAAAAUUCCUUUCUAAACAAGGAGAGAUUCCUAAGUACCAAGACCCAGAGACACAAGAACAGAGCAGGGCUAGGUGUAGUCCCUUUGGGUCACUGUCCCCAGGUGAGGAUGCCCGAAGCUGAUUCUGUCUUUGUGUCCCCAGCUCGCCCUCCCCCACCUGCGGAAGGUCCAGGGCAACAUCAUCAACAUCUCCAGCUUGACUGGGGCCAUUGGCCAGUCCCAGGCAGUGCUCUACUCUGCCACCAAGGACAGGGAACAACAUUUCUGCUCCUCCAGAAGGGGCCAAAACCCUGGCCCACCCCCAGGAAGGGUACAGCCCACUCUCCAGGUAUGGGCCCAGUUUUGUUUUGUUUUGUUUAGUACUGGGGAUUGAGCUUCGGACCUUGCCCCCUCCCCUGGCCCAACCUGUUCCUUUAUCUUAGGAUCAGGCUCCUGCUCUUUAUUUUCUCAAGGCACUUUAUGGACUUUCAGCUUCCUGAAGAAUUUGCUUGUCAG
Molecule: long non-coding RNA, 504 nt
Filed under: Heterocephalus glaber (naked mole-rat)
Lineage: Eukaryota; Metazoa; Chordata; Mammalia; Rodentia; Bathyergidae
Description: lncRNA (ENSHGLG00000033551.1)
Source: RNAcentral